UUUUUUCUAUUAGUAAACGUGAAAACUCAAAGUCUAAACUGAUUUGUGUUAACUGUCGUCCAAUGUUAUGACUUUCUUGGUUUUGUAACCUUAUGUUAUAAUUACACAGUCUUUUUUUUUAGAUGUCAUGGUAUUAAUUGAUAUAUGACUACAAUAUUCCAAACUCUGCAUACAAUCAUAUUUCUACCCUGUUUUCAUAUACCAUGACACAGCAUUAAAACUCUGCAAACCAGUGCUUGGCAUGGAGCUCUUCAAAUCAUAAGAGUGAAUGAGGCACAGAAAUGUCAUGACAUGAUUGUCAUACUUCAUGAAACGAGUAUUAUAAUUGUCACAAUAUGAUUAUCUAAGGUAGUGAAGAAGCCAAAAUACCAGAUACAAUUACACCAAUAACAUAAAAUCUCCUUAGGCCAAGUUUGGUCAAAUCCAGUUCCAAAUGACCUCAGAGGAAGGAAACCUAGCUAAAGGAAUGACCGUUCUUGUUCUAUAAACGGGACAUGAAAUAUGGUUAUCAGUUAUGUGACUAAGUGAUACCUGUGAUUAUCCGUUAAGUGACUAAAGAUUGAACCACCAAAUAUCAAGCAAAAGAAGCCAUUAAAGAGUCCUAAGCUGUGACUCCUUGAAGGCAGGAGCUCUAUUUGACUGUCUUAUCUUUCUAUUCAACAUAUCAUCACAUACGUAUGUGGUUGUGCAAGUCCCUGAAAAUAUUUUUGAAUUGAUUGAUAGCAUUAUGUAACUGAUCAGCCUGCUCAGAGCAGAAGUUCUUUCAAUUAGCCAAAGCCACAGUAUUACUAUUGGCAAUCUCCAUCUUUCAAUAAUAAUAUGAAAAUUCAGGAUUACUAGUUACUGGUACUAUUUGCACCUUGAAUCCUCUGGGAAAAUGAAACUGUAUAAAUAAAUGCGUAAUUAAAUAAAGUCAGGAAGUUAUAGGUGCUUCACAUAUUAUUAAUUGGCUUCUCUCCAAAAUUCUAGGUUACCAAAAGCUAUUCCUUUGUCUAUAUGUAAACAGGUAGAAACAUAGACAGAAGGUGAUGUUCAUAGACUAAGAAAAUGAGAGACAAAUCCGAGGUAUAUUUGGACCAUGAAUUAGAGUUGGAAAGUGGAAAGAAAUUUCAGAGAGAGAGAGAAAGAGAGAGACUGCUCUUGAUGAGUUGAAUUUUUAGACUCCUCAUUUCUGCAUCCAUGGAUUUUUUUUUUUUCCCCCAUGAUUUUCCCUUCCUUCCUCUAAUUCACAUAGUCUUCUCUCUGGGCAAAGCUCUAGGGACAAUCAUGGGAAAGAAAACUCCCUAAGACUCACCCCUUCCCUCAGGUGAUUUUUAUAAAAGUUGGCAGGCACUCCUUAUGACAGAAGAGUCACAUACACCAUGGGCAGGUGAAGAGGAUAUGAAUUCGCAGUGCUACACUCUGUUCCCAUCCCACAGAUUACUUUUGUAGCUGUAGCUCAUGGAGCCUAAUUUGCGAUAAAUCAAUAAUUUUCUGAAUUACGAAUUCUCCAGUCUGGAUUGUAAUUUAAAAAUUGAAAUACUCUAUAAUUGAAUUUUUGUCACAUCCACACGGGGACUUACUUAACAAAGGGGAUGUUGUUCUGCUUUUUAUCUACCUACCUACCUACCUGUUUAUGUUUUCUACCUAUAGCCUAAAACAUUUUCUUAUAAGAGUGGAUAUGAUGUAUUUUUUUCCUUUUUUGGCCUUGCCCAUGGCAUAUGGGAGUUCCUGGGCCAGGGGUUAAUCUAAGCUACAUCUGUGACCCAGGCCACAGCUGUGGCACACAGGAAACAUAACCCACUGUGCUGGGCUGAGGAUCAAACCAACUGCAGUGUCAUAGAGACAAGCUAAAUCAUUAACCGAUUGCACCACAGCAGGGACCCCAAGAUGUUUCUGAGAAAAGAAAUAGGUAAAUAAAUUUUAAAAAUGGAGAAAAAAAACACUUAAUAGUUUCUUAAAUUUGAGUGAUUGUUUAAGCUUUAAAUUAUCUGCAUGUAUAUCCUGUAUUUAAAAAAAAAAAUCAAUGCUUUUAUGCAACAUGUUUUCCUGGAUUGGAUCCUGGAGCUGAAAAAAGACAUGUAUUAAAAACUAGGAGAAAUCAAAUAAGUCUGUAGCUUAGUUGAUAAUAAUUUAUCAGUGUUAAUUUCUUUGUUGUAAUAAAUGUACUAGGAUCAGGUAACAUAUUAACAUUAGGGGCAGCUGGGAGAAGGGUUUUGGGAACUCUGUACUACCUUUGUAACUUUUCUGUAGAUCUAAAUUUAUUCCAAAAUAAAAAGCUUCUUUAAAAAUAAUUAAUACUUUUUAAAUUCUUCCAUUAUGAAGCUAUUUAAUAUUGGCUGUCCUGCCUCCCAAAAUGCUGAACUCUUGAAAGCAGGACCCAUUUCUAAUUAGCACUGAAUUAUCUUUAUCUAGAUCUUAUUAUCAACACUUGGUAAAUACACUCUUGAUAGCAGGUGAUAUAUAUUUCAUUGUACAUAUUUAUGUUAUGAUCAGCAUGUAAAAACUUGACCAUGUAUUAGAAUAUUAGAAAUUACUGAGCAUUGUAUUGCCAACUCUGCAGGAAGAUUUAAGACAUAUUUUAGUGCUUCUUAAGAAGCCAGCUCUAAGUACUUACUCAGGAAAUGGGUGACGUAUUUCAGAUGGAAACAGAAAAGUUAUUUAAAAAGAAAAUUCUGGAGUGCCCAUCGUGGCGCAGUGGUUAACGAAUCCGACUGGGAACCAUGAGGUUGCGGGUUUGGUCCCUGCCCUUGCUCAGUGGGUUAAUGAUCCGGUGUUGCCGUGAACUGUGGUGUAGGUUGCAGAUGCGGCUUGGAUCCCACGUUGCUGUGGCUCUGGCGUAGGCCGGUGGCUACAGCUCCGAUUAGACCCCUAGUCUGGGAACCUCCAUAUGCCGCGGGGAGCGGCCCAAAGAAAUAGCAAAAAGCCAAAAAGCCAAAAAAAAAAAAAAAAAGAAAAUUCUGAAGGAAAUUCUCAAAUAACAACAACUAAUCAAAAUGGAGUUUAUUAUUAAAAAUAGAAAGAUUACUUUAGUUGGCAGGGGACUUCCACUCAGUCUCAAAGAGGCUGGCUCAAGGGUUAAUGAUUGGAAGAAUGUGAACAUGCAGUAACAAAGAAUAAAGGUUGGGCCAGGGGAAAUGAUAACAAUUCAAACAGUAAGUCAGCCAUAUAACAGAGUCACAGAGUCUUUAGGUUCUCCCUGAAGGACAUAGAUAAUGUCUGACACACCUUCCCAAGUUGUUUUUAUAGAGAACAGACUCCUACCACAUGGAAACUGCUGACCACAAGCAUGUAAACACCAGACCUACUAGAAUUGGAAGACUAUUGACGGAGACUCCCAAAAUAUCACUUAAUUACCUCACCAUCAACCAAUCAGAGGAUUGUGCAUGAGCUGAUCACACAUGCUGUGACCCUCUCCAUACACUGUCUUUCAAAACCCUUCCCUUAAAGCUGUCUGGGAGUUAGGUUCUUUCAAGUACAGGCUGUCAGUUCUCUUUGCUUGGUAUCCUGCAAUAAACAUUCUACUUUCCUUCACCACAACCCAGUGUUAAUAGAUAGGCUUUGCUGCAUAAUGGGGGAGUAGUCCCAAGUUUGGUUGGUAACAGGUACAUUUAGCAUAUUAGAGUCAGCCCUCCAUAUCCAUCAUCAGAUUCAAACACCACAGAUCAAAAUAUUUUUAAAAAUCCAGAAAGUUCCAAAAAGCAAAUUUUGAAUUUGCCACACACCAGCAACUAUUUACCUAGCAUUUACAUUGUAUUAGGUAUUGUAAGUAAUCUAGAGAUGAUUUAAUGUAAAAAGAAGGAUAUGCCUAGGUUAUAAGCAAACACUAUACCAUUUUACAAAAAGGACUUGAGCAUACGUAGAGUUUUUUAUGUCUGCAGCAGGGUUUGGAGGGGGUGGGAGCGUGUCUUGGAACCAAACAUUUGUGGAUACCAAGGGACAAUUGUAUGUGUCUAAAAUCUGCUGUAAUAAGAAAAUCUCAUAAAUCUUUCACUUAGUAUUGAGGUAUUUCUGCUUCCCUUGCUUCUGUCUUCGGGUGAAGUGUUUUCAGACAUUAUACUAUAAAUUGGAGUUGUAUGUGUGUAGAGGUUUUGCAAAUCAAAUAUUUUGUUAGUCACCAGCUCUCAAGGAGCUAGUAUGUGCUUUAGUAUGGCAACCUAGAUUGUAUUGCCACUAAAAUCUGUAGUAUUUUUUCAACUGUCUUGUCAAUUAGACUAGAAACCUCAUAGGAUACAAGCAUAUUUUAAACAGAUAAUGCUGCCAUUAACAUAAAAAAUAAGGCACUCCAUAUUCAAGAGGAAGAAACUGAAGAAUACAGUUACAAAUAUA
RNAcentral lists this long non-coding RNA (4308 nucleotides) under Sus scrofa (pig). Its description in RNAcentral is "lncRNA (ENSSSCG00050068107.1)". The record is from RNAcentral. Lineage: Eukaryota; Metazoa; Chordata; Mammalia; Artiodactyla; Suidae.